This 214-nucleotide unclassified non-coding RNA is filed under the name Hevea brasiliensis (rubber tree). Lineage: Eukaryota; Viridiplantae; Streptophyta; Magnoliopsida; Malpighiales; Euphorbiaceae. The record is from RNAcentral.
AGAAAGUGGCAUCCAAAAUCUUAUAGGGCUCAAGAUAUUACUUAUGAUCUUCUGAAGAACAUUACGUCAAUUGACCUGAGUAUACAUGUGACAAGCGAUGACAGGAAGGAGGUGCAGGUACAGCCAUGCUUAUGGAAUGGUAUCCAACGACCGUGCUACUUAUUUGCGAGGAAAUUCUACCCAGGAGCUAUUGAUAACCUCUUGCAGCUUUUCU